Molecule: ribosomal RNA, 440 nt
Filed under: uncultured bacterium
Lineage: Bacteria
Description: partial 16S ribosomal RNA
Rfam family: Bacterial small subunit ribosomal RNA
Source: RNAcentral
CCUACGGGUGGCAGCAGUGGGGAAUAUUGCACAAUGGGGGAAACCCUGAUGCAGCGACGCCGCGUGAGUGAAGAAGUAAUUCGUUAUGUAAAGCUCUAUCAGCAGGGACGAAAAUGACGGUACCUGAGUAAGAAGCCCCGGCUAACUACGUGCCAGCAGCCGCGGUAAUACGUAGGGGGCAAGCGUUAUCCGGAUUUACUGGGUGGAAAGGGAGCGUAGACGGCCGUGCAAGUCUGGAGUGAAAGGCAGGGGCUCAACCCCCGGACUGCUCUGGAAACUGUACGGCUGGAGUGCAGGAGAGGUAAGUGGAAUUCCUAGUGUAGCGGUGAAAUGCGUAGAUAUUAGGAGGAACACCAGUGGCGAAGGCGGCUUACUGGACUGUAACUGACGUUGAGGCUCGAAAGCGUGGGGAGCAAACAGGAUUAGAUACCCUGGUAGUC